GGCAGGGACACGGACAGGGCAGGGAUGCGGGGCAAGACAGGGAGGGGGCAGGGAUACGAGGCAGGACAAGGAGGGGGCAGGGACUCAGGGCAGGACAGGGCAGGGGCAGAGGCAGGACAGGGACGGUGCAGCCUCCGCUGCUGCCCUCUCGGGGAGCCUGGCUCCCACCCUCACCCAGCCACUGCUCCUGGGCACAGAGCUGAAGGGGAACUGGAGGCUGCGGCGUUCCUCUCUCCGUCCCCCUCUCUCUGGUGACUCAUGUGAUAACGAACCGACCUUUUGGAGACAUUCUGUGCCCUCAACAAAAGCGGCCCCUGUCUGGAAACCCCCCCGAGGAGACUGACUUCCUCCCCUGCUGCCUGGGCUGCGGUAGCUCUUCCGGCACCUGCUCUUCAGGCACCUGCCCUGUGCUGGCCCCUCCUGCAACAAUCGGGAGCCCUCACCUCAGUCGGCGCUGCAGAACCAGCCCAGGAGAGCAGCUGGCCUGUCAUCUGCUGAGGAGCGGAGGCGUGCGGGGAUCCGGAGGGGAAGGGGGUCUGGAGUGCUCCGGGGGAGACCCUCAGGGACUGCCCUGCUGCUGGCAGCGCCUGGGCCCACGGCUGAUGGAGGCGUCUCCUGGCCCCCAGGGCUGUGCCCAGGACUGCAAUGGCCUCCCACACUACCUCACUACCCUGGUCCAGGCUCACUGACAGAUGAGGAAACUGAGGCAGGGGCCCUGGUCUCACGGCCAUUGGUGCAGAGCUGGGAUCCACGACCAGGUGGGCUCUUUGUUAUUACUUCCUCCAAGGACAAGCCCAGGUUCUCCAGGGUGUGGGGUCCACGUGUGGCCACAGCGGGCCUUAGAGACAGACAGGCCUGGGUAGGGGGAGGGGUGGGUGGGCAAGGCCUUAGAGACAGGCCUGGCGGGGGAGGGGCCGGGCCUGUGCACUGGCAGUGGUGGCACCACGGGCCCUUGGGGACACCAAGUGAGCUCUUUAAAGUGGCUAAAGUGGUAAACCUUGUGUUUUGUAUAGAUUCUACCAAUUAAAAAAAGGAAAUGUGGGCCGGG
Molecule: long non-coding RNA, 1048 nt
Filed under: Homo sapiens (human)
Lineage: Eukaryota; Metazoa; Chordata; Mammalia; Primates; Hominidae
Description: HSALNT0402521
Source: RNAcentral